RNAcentral lists this ribosomal RNA (468 nucleotides) under uncultured bacterium. RNAcentral's name for it is "partial 16S ribosomal RNA". It matches the Rfam family "Bacterial small subunit ribosomal RNA", at positions 28 to 507 of the family's 1533-position model. The record is from RNAcentral.
GACGAACGCUGGCGGCGUGCUUAACACAUGCAAGUCGAACGGAAAGGCCCUGCUUUUGUGGGGUGCUCGAGUGGCGAACGGGUGAGUAACACGUGAGUAACCUGCCCUUGACUUUGGGAUAACUUCAGGAAACUGGGGCUAAUACCGGAUAGGAGCUCCUGCUGCAUGGUGGGGGUUGGAAAGUUUCGGCGGUUGGGGAUGGACUCGCGGCUUAUCAGCUUGUUGGUGGGGUAGUGGCUUACCAAGGCUUUGACGGGUAGCCGGCCUGAGAGGGUGACCGGCGACAUUGGGACUGAGAUACGGCCCAGACUCCUACGGGAGGCAGCAGUGGGGAAUAUUGCACAAUGGGGCGAAGCCUGAGGCAGCAACGCCGCGUGCGGGAUGACGGCCUUCGGGUUGUAAACCGCUUUCGCCUGUAACGAAGCGUGAGUGACGGUAAUGGGUAAAGAAGCACCGGCUAACUACGUG